Molecule: ribosomal RNA, 468 nt
Filed under: uncultured bacterium
Lineage: Bacteria
Description: partial 16S ribosomal RNA
Rfam family: Bacterial small subunit ribosomal RNA
Source: RNAcentral
GACGAACGCUGGCGGCGUGCUUAACACAUGCAAGUCGAACGGAAAGGCCCUGCUUUUGUGGGGUGCUCGAGUGGCGAACGGGGGAGUAACACGUGAGUAACCUGCCCUUGACUUUGGGAUAACUUCAGGAAACUGGGGCUAAUACCGGAUAGGAGCUCCUGCUGCAUGGUGGGGGUUGGAAAGUUUCGGCGGUUGGGGAUGGACUCGCGGCUUAUCAGCUUGUUGGUUGGGUAGUGGCUUACCAAGGCUUGGACGGGUAGCCGGCCUGGGAGGGUGACCGGCCACAUUGGGACUGAGCUACGGCCCAGACUCCUACGGGAGGCAGCGGUGGGGAGUAUUGCACAGUGGGCGGAAGCCUGAUGCAGCAACGCCGCGUGCGGGAUGACGGCCUUCGGGUUGUAAACCGCUUUCGCCUGUGACGAAGCGUGAGUGACGGUAAUGGGUAAAGAAGCACCGGCUAACUACGUG